GACGAACGCUGGCGGCGUGCCUAAUACAUGCAAGUCGAACGAGAGCGACCGGUGCUUGCACUGGUCAAUCUAGUGGCGAACGGGUGAGUAACACGUGGGUAACCUGCCCAUCAGAGGGGGAUAACAUUCGGAAACGGAUGCUAAAACCGCAUAGGUCUUCGAACCGCAUGGUUUGAAGAGGAAAAGAGGCGCAAGCUUCUGCUGAUGGAUGGACCCGCGGUGCAUUAGCUAGUUGGUGAGGUAACGGCUCACCAAGGCCGUGAUGCAUAGCCGACCUGAGAGGGUGAUCGGCCACAUUGGGACUGAGACACGGCCCAAACUCCUACGGGAGGCAGCAGGAGGGAAUCUUCCGCAAUGGACGCAAGUCUGACGGAGCAACGCCGCGGGAGUGAAGAAGGUUUUCGGAUCGUAAAACUCUGUUGUUAGAGAAGAAUAAGUGCUAGAGUAACUGUUAGCGCCUUGACGGUAUCUAACCAGAAAGCCACGGCUAACUACGU
This 497-nucleotide ribosomal RNA is filed under the name uncultured bacterium. RNAcentral's name for it is "partial 16S ribosomal RNA". It matches the Rfam family "Bacterial small subunit ribosomal RNA", at positions 28 to 506 of the family's 1533-position model. The record is from RNAcentral.